Molecule: ribosomal RNA, 493 nt
Filed under: uncultured bacterium
Lineage: Bacteria
Description: bacterial SSU rRNA
Rfam family: Bacterial small subunit ribosomal RNA
Source: RNAcentral
GAUCAUGGCUCAGGAUGAACGCUGGCGGCGUGCUUAACACAUGCAAGUCGAACGAAGCACUUUAAUCGAUUUCUUCGGGAUUGAAGUUUAGUGACUGAGUGGCGGACGGGUGAGUAACGCGUGGGUAACCUGCCUCACACAGGGGGAUAACAGUUGGAAACGGCUGCUAAUACCGCAUAAGCGCACAGUACCGCAUGGUACAGUGUGAAAAACUCCGGUGGUAUAAGAUGGACCCGCGUCUGAUUAGCUUGUUGGUGAGGUAACGGGCCCACCAAGGCGACGAUCAGUAGCCGGCCUGAGAGGGUGAACGGCCACAUUGGGACUGAGACACGGCCCAAACUCCUACGGGAGGCAGCAGUGGGGAAUAUUGCACAAUGGGGGAAACCCUGAUGCAGCGACGCCGCGUGAGUGAUGAAGUAUUUCGGUAUGUAAAACUCUAUCAGCAGGGAAGAUAAUGACGGUACCUGACUAAGAAGCACCGGCUAAAUACGUG